Molecule: long non-coding RNA, 1868 nt
Filed under: Homo sapiens (human)
Lineage: Eukaryota; Metazoa; Chordata; Mammalia; Primates; Hominidae
Description: non-protein coding lnc-PRKCH-3:5
Source: RNAcentral
AGGAUGCAGAGAAAGUUAUGAAGAGAGUUCUAUCUAAAAUUUUAUACACAUAUCUCUGUAUCCCCCUUCUCAGCAUUUUUUUUUCUCCUUGGCACUUAUCACUCUCAUGUGUGUGUUUGUUCAUGUAUUUAUUGACUGAGUGAUUUUUUUCUCUCCCAAUAAGCUGCAAACUCUGUGAAGACAGGGAUAUUUUUCCCAUUUUUGCCCCAUCAUGCUGCAAGCCCAAGGUACAAUUAGAACACAUCCAAUUCACUGUCCAUCUACCUGUGGCACUUCAACCAUGACCACAAACCAAAUCACUCUUCCUGUAUCACAUUCCCUGAGAGACUUUGUUUUCUCCCACAGGAAAGAUUUGUUUAUUUUUCUGAUUCAAUCAAAUGUACCACUAGUUUCUGCAGGAUUAUUUGUACCUCUUUCAGGAUCCUGAGGAAUUUGCUCCUGGGCCAUGAAGAUGGGAAGCUGAGUCAGAGUGCAGUUCUUCACCCAAUCCCACAGCCACACGUGCCUGCUUGCUCACGGGAUCUUCCCACUCUCCUCGGGAAGGCUUCCGAGCUGCUUCCUCAGGAUGUCCUGUGAUAGCAGCCUGACCUGUCAAAGCCAUGCGAAUACCAUCUGUUCAGUUAUAUAACUUGAGAUCUGGGAAGAAUUCUCAACGUAGGAUUUGCUGCCCAAAUCAAAUCAUUUUCAGAAAGGAGAUUAAGCAUUCUUUGCUGGGAAAAGGAGAAAUUACCAGAAAAAAUUAUCAUUUCACUGAGUAUAAACAAACCUUUGUCCAAAAUACACAAAUGAAAAUGACAAAUUUGCUUCAUUAAUAUUUGCUUGCAUUAAAAAUAUACACAGGGCUAUGUAUGGUUCAAUAUCUUAAGUGCAAAGUAAAAUCUUAAUUAGGAACAAUGGAAUUGUUAAUUUAAUGAAUCUUAAUUUUGUUUAGAUCAUUAGCCUGCAGUAUAAUGUCCCAAGCAGAAUUUGGGGUGGGGAGCUUGGUGGUGGAAGAGGAAGUGCUCAUUUCUACAGACAUGACAAGAUUAUUAACACUAAAGAAUGACUUUUCUUUCAUGGGAGGGGAAGAUAUCUGACCCACCAGCAGUCAGACAGAAACCCUGACUUGUGAUUUUAACAUUACCUUAUAUGACCCAUGGUCACCUUGUAUGACCAAAGAAAACCAUUUAUGAAAUAGCUGUCCGGAGUUCAAGAUUUAAAUGGUAACUUUGUAGACUAGGUUUUCUCUCAUCAUCUAAUUUACUUGCCUUAACGCUUGUUUCUUUGCCCUUAUUCCUACUGGCUCUCGAGUAUAAUAUCCUGAGAAUUUAUGUUGAACAGCACUAAUUUUUUCACUUGGAGCUAGCACAUGUUUAUGACUAGUACAAGUUUAUAACUACAAAAAACAGAGAUUUUGUCAUCUUAAACUGAAUUUACUGGGAAUAAAAUCAGUCAAUUCAGAAAAGUAUAACAAAGGAAAUAAAAAUCACCACAACUCCUACUACCUGAAGAUUAAAUGGUUAAAGUGUUUUGUAUAUUCUUCUGUAAUUUUUACACCUACAUGUUUUUUAAAUAAAAAUUAACCCUACCUAUAAACCAAACAAUAUUAUUUAACUAACAGGAGAAGAAUAAAUUAUAUUUUUUGAUUGGCUGUAUAGCAAAGAGAAUCCUGCCAUUCAGAAAAAAACAGGGUAAGACAAGGAAGGAAGCCAAAUAGAUGGACUGCAAUGGAAGUUCACCCAGAAUGAAUAAAUGAAUGAAUGAAUGAAUGAAUGAAUGGAGGAGCUAUUUUACUGACUGUGGUCAGUCAGGGAACACCUAUCAGAAAAAGCAGCAUUUGGCCGGGGGCAGUGGCUCAUGCCUGUAAUCCCAGCACUUUGGGAGGCUGA